GUGUAGCAAUACACGAGUGGCGCACGGGUGAGUAACGCGUGGAUAUCUGCCUUUUGGUUCGGAAUAACCCCGGGAAACUGGGGCUAAUACCGGAUGGUUCCUACGGGAUAAAGAUUUAUCGCCAAAAGAUGAGUCCGCGUACGAUUAGCUAGUUGGUGAGGUAAUGGCUCACCAAGGCGACGAUCGUUAGCUGGUCUGAGAGGACGAUCAGCCACACUGGGACUGAGACACGGCCCAGACUCCUACGGGAGGCAGCAGUGGGGAAUAUUGGACAAUGGGGGCAACCCUGAUCCAGCCAUGCCGCGUGAGUGAUGAAGGCCUUCGGGUUGUAAAGCUCUUUUGGCGGGGACGAUGAUGACGGUACCCGCAGAAUAAGCCCCGGCUAACUUCGUGCCAGCAGCCGCGGUAAGACGAAGGGGGCUAGCGUUGUUCGGAAUUACUGGGCGUAAAGCGUGUGUAGGUGGUUGUCAUAGUCAGGUGUGAAAGCCUUGAGCUCAACUCAAGAAAUGCACUUGAUACUGGGCGACUAGAGGACCGGAGAGGAUAGUGGAAUUCCCAGUGUAGUGGUGAAAUACGUAGAGAUUGGGAAGAACACCAGUGGCGAAGGCGGCUAUCUGGACGGUUCUGACACUAAGAC
RNAcentral lists this ribosomal RNA (637 nucleotides) under Reyranella sp. RNAcentral describes it as "bacterial SSU rRNA". It matches the Rfam family "Bacterial small subunit ribosomal RNA", at positions 74 to 752 of the family's 1533-position model. The record is from RNAcentral. Lineage: Bacteria; Pseudomonadati; Pseudomonadota; Alphaproteobacteria; Hyphomicrobiales; Reyranellaceae.